Molecule: ribosomal RNA, 254 nt
Filed under: uncultured bacterium
Lineage: Bacteria
Description: partial 16S ribosomal RNA
Rfam family: Bacterial small subunit ribosomal RNA
Source: RNAcentral
UACGGAGGGGGCUAGCGUUGUCCGAAGUUACUGGGCGUAAAGCGCGCGUAGGCGGGUUGGUAAGUCCGCUGUGAAAGCCCGGAGCUCAACUCCGGAGGGUCGGUGGAUACUGCCAGUCUUGAAGGUGCUAGGGGGAGAUGGAAUUACCGGUGUAGCGGUGAAAUGCGUAGAUAUCGGUAGGAACACCAGUGGCGAAGGCGGUCUCCUGGGGCAUUCUUGACGCUGAGGCGCGAAAGCUGGGGGGAGCGAACGGG